RNAcentral lists this ribosomal RNA (372 nucleotides) under uncultured organism. RNAcentral describes it as "bacterial SSU rRNA". It matches the Rfam family "Bacterial small subunit ribosomal RNA", at positions 526 to 896 of the family's 1533-position model. The record is from RNAcentral.
CAGAGGGGGCAAGCGUUGUUCGGAAUUACUGGGCGUAAAGGGCGCGUAGGCGGCCUUCUAAGUCGAACGUGAAAUCCCCGGGCUCAACCCGGGAACUGCGUCCGAUACUGGAAGGCUUGAAUCCGGGAGAGGGAUGCGGAAUUCCAGGUGUAGCGGUGAAAUGCGUAGAUAUCUGGAGGGACACCGGUGGCGAAGGCGGCAUCCUGGACCGGCAUCGACGCUGAGGCGCGAAAGCCAGGGGAGCAAACGGAAUUAGAUACCCCGGUAGUCCUGGCCCUAAACGAUGAAUGCUUGGUGUGGCGGGUAUCGAUCCCUGCCGUGCCGAAGCUAACGCAUUAAGCAUUCCGCCUGGGGAGUACGGUCGCAAGGCUG